UAUACCGAUAUGCAGAGAAGGUAGUAGCCGUGUCUAUCCCCAUUCCCAUAAAACAGUUAAUUGUGCCUCUGAAGUACAGACAAGAGUUACUGCAUAUAGCACACAACAUACCUUUGUUGGGUCAUUUAGGAAUCAGCCGAACUAAACAUCGGCUGACUCAAAACUUCUUCUGGCCAGGUAUCUCCAAGGAUAUUAGACAAUACUGUAAUACCUGCGAUACCUGCCAGAAGGUAGGGAAAAGGGGAGACCACUAUAAAGCCAAACUCCACUCCCUACCCAUAAUAGAAGAACCCUUUAGUCGAG
Molecule: non-coding RNA, 303 nt
Organism: Pelobates cultripes (western spadefoot toad)
Lineage: Eukaryota; Metazoa; Chordata; Amphibia; Anura; Pelobatidae
Source: the annotation of a GenBank genome assembly